GGAAACAGAGGAGAGGAGGUGUUAUGCGUCGGGGAGAAGUAGAGAAGGAAAGGAAGAAGAAGAGAAAGGAAAAGGGAAGAAGAGAGAAGAGGAGAAGGGGAGGCAGCUGCGGUAGUGGCAACUGCAGCUGGAAGAGAAGGAGAGGAAACAGAGCAGGGGAGGAAGAAGAGGCUACGGUUGUGGUGGCUGCGGCCAUGGCUACGACUCCAACUGCGGUAGUUGCAGCUGGGAAAGAAAAGAAAGGAAAGGGGGA
RNAcentral lists this long non-coding RNA (253 nucleotides) under Musa acuminata (dwarf banana). Its description in RNAcentral is "long non-coding RNA (MACU_LNC011777)". Lineage: Eukaryota; Viridiplantae; Streptophyta; Magnoliopsida; Zingiberales; Musaceae. The record is from RNAcentral.